Molecule: ribosomal RNA, 346 nt
Filed under: Stumpffia sp. 11 MV-2019
Lineage: Eukaryota; Metazoa; Chordata; Amphibia; Anura; Microhylidae
Description: partial 16S ribosomal RNA
Rfam family: Bacterial large subunit ribosomal RNA
Source: RNAcentral
GCAAAACGCACUUAAAGUCUGACCCCCCGAAACUAAGCGAGCUACUCUAAAACAGCCACAGAACUAACCCAUCCCUGUUACAAAAGGGUGGGAUGAUUUUAAAGUAGAGGUGACACACCUAUCGAGCUUANAGAUAGCUGGUUAUUCAAAAGACGGAUAUGAGUCCAACUUUAAGCUUCCUUUAGUAGUACUAAACACUCACAAGCUUAAAARCCAUUCAAAUAAGGUACAGCCUAUUUGAACAAGGAAACAACCUACAACACAGGGUAAUGAUAGUAUACAUGACCAAGUANGCCUAANAGCAGCCAACUUUCAAAAAGCGUCUAAGCAUCAUCACAACAUAUUC